Molecule: long non-coding RNA, 6901 nt
Filed under: Gossypium barbadense (sea-island cotton)
Lineage: Eukaryota; Viridiplantae; Streptophyta; Magnoliopsida; Malvales; Malvaceae
Description: long non-coding RNA (GBAR_LNC011113)
Source: RNAcentral
AGAUGGCCAAACCGCCUAAACUGUGACCAACAAGCACCACUUUUUCUUCAUUGGGUAACGAUGCCAUGAAUUCCCUCAAGGGCUUUAUGUAAUCAGAGAUCGAUCUCAGAGUGUUGACUUGCUGUGGAUCAACCCCUGACCCACCCAGGUCUAAGGCGGUAACAUUGUGGCCACCUGAUUUUAGCAGUGGCACCACCUUGUACCAUGACCAAGCGCCAUGGCGAGACCCAUGAACCAGCACAAAGUGCUUUGGUGGCUCCGAUGAUGUUCCCGGCACCUUGGAUAGAAGGUGGCAAAUUAAAAGUGAAACUAAGAGCAUGAGCUUCCAAAUCUGAUACAUGUUUUUAGGUUGGGUGUUGGGUAUUAUCUGGUUAUGGACAAAGCUCUUCACUUGAAACUUUGGUUGAAUGAAAUAUUAUAAAUCUUUCAGUUGGAACAACAAAUUUACUAGAAAAAAUAGUAUAUUAAUAUGGGUGGGUAUAUAAAUAAUUUGUGUCAUUUAUUUUUUUUUCCCACUGCCUCAUGACACUGGAUAAUGACAUUUUCAACGACGUGCACGGGACCAAAACAACGAUAUCAAGGAUGGGUUUCUCUCUUUGGAUUUGGCGGUUGACUCCAAACCAGAGAAAUACAUUCCAGAUCGGGGUGUAAUUAAACAGGAAAUUCAAUGAAUUGUUUGUGAAUUAUUUGUAUAAUGUUCAUUUAUUAACUUAAAUAAGUAUAAACAAAAUUUUUAUAUUCAUUUAAUAAAUGAACGAACACGAAUUGAGGUGUGUUCGGUUCGUUUAUAUUCACAAACAAGCUCGUUUAUUGGCUCAUUUAUAAGUUCAUUUAUUAACUACUUUAUAAGUUCGUUUAUUGACUCGUUCAUUUAUUAAUGAUAUUUUCUUAUAAAAAUUCUAUUAGUAUAUAUUAAUAAAAUUAUCUUAAAACUCGUUUAUUGUUCUAUUAAUAUAUAUUAAUAAAAUUAUCUUGGUUUGUAUUGUUUUUAUUUAUAAUAAAAUUAUUAAUAUUUAUAUUUGACUAUUUUAUAUCUAAACAAUAUAUGUGUAUGUAUUUAUUGUUUGUUUGUUUGUUUAUUAUUUAUUAACACUGUUCGUGAACAUGUUCAAAUAAAUUAAAUGAACAUAUUCGUGAACAAUAAAUAAACGAACAUGAACAGAAAUAAUUUUAAAUAAACGAAUAUGAAAAAAAUUUAAAAUUCUUAACGAACACAAAUUGAGCAUGAACAAGUUUAAAAAUAAACAAACAAACAUGGACAAAUGUUUGUUCUGAUUUACAGCCCUAAUUCCGAAAAUCACUUUGGUGGGGAAAACUAUAUAUGUUAGACGAGGGCUAAAAUCAGACCUGAUUUUCUAUACUCUUAAAAAAAGGCUGGCCGGUGGAGAACAGCCACAAGAUGGGCAUAAAUCCAUACAUUUUUGCUUUAAAUUUAAAAAUACAAGAUGAAAUUAAAGUGUUUAAGCUGUGCCCCAUGGUCAGCCCUUGACUAAAAUUCUCAUGGGAAAGAUGUUGGGCAAUUGUUCUCUGAUGAGUCAGAGCACAUGGUGUUGGAUGUAAGCCAUUGUAUCGUGGGAUGAGGCUUACUUAAGCCUAAUACCAUGGGGGAAGGGAUUGGCUUUGAUAAUGCCCAAGCACUCACCGGACUGGAGAGAAAUAUUGGGGAAGUUGAGCAUGGAGUUUUAGCUUUCCUGUUAAGGUAGACCCCAAAUACAAUAUUUUCCCUCUUUUUUUUUGUUUUAGAAUCCAUUAGGCGUGGGAAAAUUUGAACUUAUUGAUGAGGUAGAAGUUCAAGAGUAUGGAAGAAUAAAAGGGGCUUAAGACACUUCUCGAAAUAAAUAAAUAAAUAAAACAAUCGAAAUAAAUAAAUAAAUAAAACAAAGUGAGUAGACAAAAAGGAAAAUUGUCACACCCAUGUAUGCCGGAUUUGAGAUUAAAACGUGUAGCAGUGAAAUUAUUUGUUUGGCAAAGUGUAAUCACUCAUUUGUUUAUUUCGGCGAAUAGGAGUAUGUUUAUAUUAACCGCCGUGUAAGUAAGUGAAGAUUCUAUUUUAGGUCAUUCUACUAUUUAAAGAGAAAAAAUUUGUUAAGCGAAAAUGUAAUUAUGGUAUGAGUUCCACCAAAUGUAUAGUUCGCCUUGUUUGUUUGAGUAGUGUGCUUGUUGGGUUGUAAAAUGAUCUAAUUAGAAAUCGACCAGAUUGACUAGUUUAAUAUCCAUUAUACAAUAUCUUCAUUUAUAUUUCUCUCGGAGUUUGAAGUAGAGGUGUGCAUGGGCCAGGUGACCCGGCCCGACCCUACCCGAAGACCCGCCCGAAAUGUAGAAGGGUUUGGGCAAAAAUAUAGGCCCGAAAAAUGGGCUUGAGCAAAAAAAUAAAGCCCGUUUAAAAAACGGAUUGAGCCUCGGGUAAGACAUUUUUGGACUGGGCCCGGUCCGAAUUCACUACAUGACAAAAAACAUUUUUUUAAAUAUUAUUUUCUUAUUGUUUUCUCCCUAUUUUGCUACUAUUUUACUAUUAUGUUGCUACUAUUUUGUUGUUAUUGUUGAGAUAUUGUAUAAAACUUAUUUUAUUAUUUAUUUUAUUAUUAUUUUAAAGACAUUUGUUAAUGUUGUUAUUAUUUUAGAAACAUUUGCUUGUUAAGUUGCAUCUAUUUUAAUGUUGUUUAAGUAUACAUAUUUUUUAAAAUUUAUUUUUAAUUUGUUGAGAAGUAUUUAUUUUGAUGUUUUUAGUAUUUUUGAUGGUUUAUAUAUAUUUUAAAAUUAUAUAAAAAAUAAAAUAAAAAUUAAUAUGGAUGGGCUGGGUCGGGCCUGGGUUUUAACAUUUUUAUUCGGGUCGGGCUUGGAAAAAAAUUUAGGCAUAUUAUUUGGGAAACGGGCCUAAAUUUUUAGUUGGGCGCGACCCGAACCCGGCUCGGCCCGGCCCAUACACACCUCUAGUUUGAAUGCCAUUAAGAAGGACAAACUCUAAAUUAAGUGACAUUUGUUAAGUUCCAUUAAGUAAAAUUGGGUUAUAUAUGUGACAAGGGCUCGUAAGAAAGGUUAUUCUUCUUUCAAUAUUACUCUCUGAUUCUUUUUUUUUUUCAAAUCUAAUUGUAUCUCUCCCUUAUUAAGUUGGAAGCAAAGGUUCUGGGUUUAAUCGGUGCUCAUUCCAUCUCCGAGUAAGUGUUACGGCUCUACAUGUUAGGUUUUGAAAGAGUAAGUCUAUAAGGGGUAUAUGAACAAUAAGUUGUUAGUAUAAGGUCUUGCAUGGGGUUAUCUACGAUUUAGAUGUCAUGGAAUUUGUAUGCAUAAGGUUUGUAAUAGUGAAUCUAUGUUCUUUAAGCAGUUGUUAUUGCUGGUUUGAGAAGGAUGUCUGGGUUAGAGCUUCGAGCUACAAUGGGUAAGUAUCACAUGGGUCUCUAAUGUCGACUCCUACAAGUUCUUCUAGAUAGAUCUCUUGUGAUCGAUGUUCCAAUAACGAUGCAUAAGUACUUAAAUGACAGUUGAAAAAAUAUAUAUGUAAUCUUAGUAUAACGUUCUUGUGAGUUAAAUAUGUAAUGAUUUGUAUGUGUGGGUGUAAGUGAUUCUUUGAAGCAAUUAUGUGUGUGUGCCUGGGACGUAUACUGUGAUACAUGUUUGUGUUUAUGUGUGUGAAACUUGUAUUGAAGUCUGAUUUGAUUAAGAAAAUGAGUACACCCUACCUGAGUGUAUACUUAUGUUAGAUAUAUGAUUGAAAAUGUUAAAGAAAUGGGGUGUAAAAGAGUAAUGGGAGAUUAUGUGAUGUGAGCUUUGACACCAUGGUGGUAUUCAAUAUACAUGAAUUUCGGUAUGAUAAUUCUAAAGAAGUCCAUGGUCAUGGCACAUACUAGAAAGGGGCAGAUGAGCUGCAUUUAUCUACUGAGGUUUUCUGUGUGUCCCAGGGCGACGACAGACAAACCUCACACGAUGUGAGUUUAGGCAAAUCUAUAUCGCAAACACAACAGUUCAUGGAAUGCCUGGGUGGAAUUUUGAUUGGCCUUUGUGGCGAAUUUUGGUUAGCCUUUGUGGCGCAUUUUGUUUGACAUUUGUGGCAAAUUCUGAUUAGCCUUUGUGGCAUAUUCUUUAUGCUACCUUUGUGGCAUAUUCUAUAUGUUACCUUUGUGGUAUAUUCUAUUUGGCCCUUGCUACGUCCUUUGCUAAGUCUAUGUGGUAAAUUAUGUAUCGCAAUUGUGGUGAAUUAUGUAUCAUAAUUGUGGUGAAUUCUGGGUACACUCUGGGUGUUCUUUGAUAAUCAAUUUUAUGGUAAGAAAUGAUAUGUCUGGAGUUAUUUUGGUAUGGUUAGCUCUGUGAUGUAUCGAAGGAGUCAUAAGGGAAGUUUCCUGAAAGGAAGUAUAUAUCUAUAAGUUUAAAAAUGGUAUUCACCAUGGUAAUUCAAGAAUAACAUUGAAAAUUAAUUACAAAGCUAUGUUGGUUUGCAAACCCGCUAAAUCACUUGUUGAAUAAGCGAUUAAUUAAAAAAAUGCAUUCAUUCAUAAGCCUAAAUCGGCUACUCACUAGUUGACUUACUAAUCGCGCCUAGUGUCACGAUACAACACACCUAGUGUUACGACAUCUUUGGCAGACUACUCCAAGUUGAUUUUUCAUUGAAGUUUUGCUCCCCUGAAGUGAUGGAGGGUCGGUGUCACGACAUCAUUGCAUCAAUGUUGCAACACCCAAAGCAAUUGAUUAUUUCCUUAAGGUUUGGCCAUAGUCAUUUCUUUACACACUCAAAUAAACCAUUAGACUUCAACAUUCACAAGGUCAAGGAUGUUAUUCAUAAAAGUGGUUGAAAAAGCAUGUGCGAUGAUGGAUACAAAGUGCAUAUAUUGCCAGAAAGUAGCUAGAGUUAUGGAUGCAAAUCAUAGGAAAUUUAAUUCCAUGACAGUGGAAAUAUAAAAUAUCAAUUUUAUCACGUGGCACAACCUUCACGUAUCGCAUAGCAAAAACAACCUAAAAAAAUGGUUGUCAUUACUCUAUAACGGUUGACUGUUAACUUUAACAAUCUAAUGGCUUAAGUGAUUGAGAUUAAUUGAGUGAAAAAAGAAUAAGGGUUUAAUUAAUUUUUUGAAAAUAUUCAAGGACUUAAUUAAUAAAGAGAUAAAUAUAUAUCAUAAUUGUAUUUAAAGUGUAUAAAAAAUAUGAACGGUAUAAAAUUAUAUUCUUAAAGGACAUAUUAUAAAUAGAUUAUAAUACUUUAAAUUUCUUUUAGCGUUGACUAUAUUAUUAAAGUCUCAAAUUCAAUGACUCUAGUUUUUAGCUAAGCAUAAUAGCAUAUUAGAAAGUUGGAUAGGCUUGGACAUCAUCACCAUAUGAUCAGACCCUUUGAUCACUUCAACUUGAUGGGGUGGGUUUUCCCGGAUCAUCCACCCUACAAUAUCCUCCUUGAUAGCCAAAUCCUUUUCCGAAAUUAUAAAAACCCGAUUAACCGACCCGUAUAUCUUCUGAGAGAGUACUAUUACUCUUGAUAUGUCUUCUGCACUAUACAACCGUAUUGGUCUCAUCAACAUACUUGCCAAUGCAGAAUCCUGCAAUUAAUUUUUUAUUCAUACAUUUUUUUAGAUUCUAUAAGUAGAUUUAAGGUGUGAUAAGUAUUUUAUAUAAUGCAAAAUUCUAUUGAAUUCAUGUUCGUUACGAUAUCAUUUUUUUAAUUAUAUUGCUAUCAAAUGAGUUUCGGAAUCUCACACUAAUAAAUUUAAUAAAAAAGUUUAACAACGUUAACAAUUAAACAUGCAUGCAUUUUGAAAUUGAAAAGUAAAGAGACUAAGGCGGGUUUGGUUUCUCAAAAUAUUUUUUAUUUUCAUCUCUAGAGAAUAGUUUUCAUUUUCUGUUUUUUUUUUUUAAAUUGAAAAUAUGUUUGGUAAAUAAAAAUAAUAUUUUUAAUAAUAAAAACAUGAAAACAAACUUAGUAACUAUUUUUUUUCUAAUAAAAAUAAAAUAUAAUAACUACAUUUAUACGAAUUCAAAACAGUGUACCAAAUUUAAUAUUGAAAAUACUUUUGUGUUUACAUGAGUUUGAACUAAGGGCAGUUCAUCUAAAGUUAAUAGUCCUUGUUUUAAUUAUUUUCAUUCUUACAAAAUAUUUUUAGUGAAAACAGUAAAAAUAAUUUUUUAUUAUUUUCUAAUUUUUCACAUAUUUUUAUUUUUAUUUCCUUUUUUUAAGAAAAAAGAUUAUUAUCUCUAAAUUCUAAAAUUUUAAAUAGCAUAUGAAUUUUUACCCGAAUUACCAAGUAAUUUAUUAAAAACUCAGCCCGAAUAGACCGGACCUAUGAAGCCGAAGCAGUAAUGAGAGUAUCGUACCUCAGGUGGGCUGAGCUGGUAGAGUUUAGAAGAGAGGAACAUUGGCCGAAAAGUGAAGGUGGUUGGAGGGCUGCUAGGCCCAUCAUCAUAUGUAUAAUGGUUCUCCAUUUGGGGAUCUAGAUCACGUAAUACCUUUCAACAAAAACAAACCAGUUUCUUUUCAAUAAUUUAUUCAAUAAUAAAAUGGAUCAUUGCGUCAUUGCAUACGUACCUUCUGAGUGAGAAUGGAAGCGUUGAGUGUUGGACCAGGCAUGAGGGCUGUCACAAAAACUGCUACAGAGAUUUUUUCCGGAAACAUUUCCAUUGCUUGAGAGAUGGCCAAACCGCCUAAACUGUGACCAACAAGCACCACUUUUUCUUCAUCGGGUAACGAUGCCAUGAAUUCUCUCAAGGGCUUUAUGUAAUCAGAGAUCGAUCUCAGAGUGUUGACUUGCUGUGGAUCAACCCCUGACCCACCCAGGUCUAAGGCGGUAACAUUGUGGCCACCUGAUUUUAGCAGUGGCACCACCUUGUACCAUGACCAAGCGCCAUGGCAAGCCCCAUGAACCAGCACAAAGUGCUUUGGUGGCUCCGAUGAUGUUCCCGGCACCUUGGAUAGAAGGUGGCAAAU